RNAcentral lists this ribosomal RNA (1466 nucleotides) under uncultured Bordetella sp. Its description in RNAcentral is "partial 16S-23S ribosomal RNA intergenic spacer". It matches the Rfam family "Bacterial small subunit ribosomal RNA". The record is from RNAcentral. Lineage: Bacteria; Pseudomonadati; Pseudomonadota; Betaproteobacteria; Burkholderiales; Alcaligenaceae.
AGUUCGAUUAUGGCUCAGAUUGAACGCUGGCGGGAUGCUUUACACAUGCAAGUCGAACGGCAGCACGGACUUCGGUCUGGUGGUGGUGGCAAAACGGGUGAGUAAUGUAUCGGAACUGAUGCCUAGUAGCGGGGGAUAACUACGCAGCGUAAUACCGCAUACGCCCUUCGAGGAAAGCGGGGGACCUUUGGACUCGCACUAUUAGAAGCAGUGAUAUCGGAUUAGCUAGUUGGUGAGAUAACGGCUCACCAAGGCGACGAUCGUAGCUGGUUGAGAGGACGACCAGCCACACUGGGACUGGAAUACGGCCAGACUCCUACGGGAGGCAGCAGUGGGGGAAUUUUGGACAAUGGGGAAGCCUGAUCCAGCCAUCCGCGUGUGCGAUGAAGACUUCGGGUUGUAAAGCACUUUUGGCGGAAAGAAACGGCACGGGAUAAUACCCCGUGCAACUGACGGUACCUGCAAGAAUAAGCGCAAACUAACACGUGCCAACAACCGCGGUAAUACGUAGAUUUGAAAGCGUUAAUCGGAAUUACUGGGCGUAAAGCGUGCGCGACGGUUCGGAAAGAAAAGAUGUGAAAUCCCAGAGCUUAACUUUGGGAACUGCAUUUUUAACUACCGAGCUAGAGUGUGUCAGAGGAGGUGGAAUUCCGCGUGUGGCAGUGAAAUGCGUAGAUAUGCGGAGGAACACCGAUGGCGAAAACAGCCUCCUGGGAUAACACUGACGCUCAUGCACGAAAAGCGUGGGGAGCAAACAGGAUUAGAUACCCUGGUAGUCCACGCCCUAAACGAUGUCAACUAGCUGUUGAGGCCUCGGGCCUUGGUAGCGCAGCUAACGCGUGAAGUUGACCGCCGCCUGAGAAUUACGGUCGCAAGAUUAAAACUCAAAGGAAUUGACGGGGACCCGCACAAGCGGUGGAUGAUGUGGAUUAAUUCGAUGCAACGCGAAAAACCUUACCUACCCUUGACAUGUCUGGAAUCCGAAGAGAUUUGAGAGUGCUCGCAAAGAGCCGGAACACAGGUGCUGCAUGGCUGUCGUCAGCUCGUGUCGUGAGAUGUUGGGUUAAGUCCCGCAACGAGCGCAACCCUUGUCAUUAGUUGCUACGAAAGAGGGCACUCUAAUGAGACUGCCGGUGACAAACCGGAGGAAGGUGGGGAUGACGUCAGUCCUCGCUGGCCCUUAUGGGUAGGGCUUCACGUCAUACAAUGGUCGGGACCGGGGUCCAUCUUCAACCCGCGAGGGGGGAGCCAAUCCGAAACCCGAUCGUAGUCCGGAUGCAGUGCAACUCGACUGCGUGAAGUCGAGAAUCGCUGGCAAUCGCGAAUCAGCAUCGCGGUGAAUACGUUCCCGGGUCUUGUACACACCGCCCGUCACACCAUGGGAGUGGGUUUUACCAAGUAGUUAGCCUAACCAUAAGGAGGGCGGUGCAGUAGGAUUAUUGACUGGGGUGAUCGUAACAAGGUAG